This 581-nucleotide ribosomal RNA is filed under the name Penicillium sp. NH7. Its description in RNAcentral is "eukaryotic LSU rRNA". The stretch from base 210 to 363 matches the Rfam family "5.8S ribosomal RNA". Lineage: Eukaryota; Fungi; Ascomycota; Eurotiomycetes; Eurotiales; Aspergillaceae. The record is from RNAcentral.
CUUCCGUAGGUGAACCUGCGGAAGGAUCAUUACCGAAUGCGGAGCCUUCGCGGCCAACCUCCACCCUUGUCUCUAUACACCUGUUGCUUUGGCGGGCCCACCGGGGCCACCUGGUCGCCGGGGGACGCACGUCUCCGGGCCCGCGCCCGCCGAAGCGCUCUGUGAACCCUGAUGAAGAUGGGCUGUCUGAGUACUGUGAAAAUUGUCAAAACUUUCAACAAUGGAUCUCUUGGUUCCGGCAUCGAUGAAGAACGCAGCGAAAUGCGAUAAGUAAUGUGAAUUGCAGAAUUCCGUGAAUCAUCGAAUCUUUGAACGCACAUUGCGCCCCCUGGCAUUCCGGGGGGCAUGCCUGUCCGAGCGUCAUUUCUGCCCUCAAGCACGGCUUGUGUGUUGGGUGUGGUCCCCCCGGGGACCUGCCCGAAAGGCAGCGGCGACGUCCGUCUGGUCCUCGAGCGUAUGGGGCUCUGUCACUCGCUCGGGAAGGACCUGCGGGGGUUGGUCACCACCAUGUUUUACCACGGUUGACCUCGGAUCAGGUAGGAGUUACCCGCUGAACUUAAGCAUAUCAAUAAGCGGAGGAA